ACUCCUACGGGAGGCAGCAGUGGGGAAUAUUGCACAAUGGGCGCAAGCCUGAUGCAGCAACGCCGCGUGAGCGAAGACGGCCUUCGGGUUGUAAAGCUCUGUCAGGGGGGACGAUAAUGACGGUACCCCCAGAGGAAGCCCCGGCUAACUACGUGCCAGCAGCCGCGGUAAUACGUAGGGGGCGAGCGUUGUCCGGAAUUACUGGGCGUAAAGGGCGUGUAGGCGGUCCUACAAGUCAGCUGUGAAACCCCCGGGCUCAACCCGGGGCGUGCAGUUGAAACUGUAGGACUUGAGUGCAGGAGAGGAGAGUGGAAUUCCUAGUGUAGCGGUGACAUGCGUAGAUAUUAGGAGGAACACCAGUGGCGAAGGCGGCUCUCUGGACUGUAACUGACGCUGAGGCGCGAAAGCGUGGGGAGCAAACAGGAUUAGAAACCCCAGUAGUCC
This 444-nucleotide ribosomal RNA is filed under the name uncultured bacterium. Its description in RNAcentral is "bacterial SSU rRNA". It matches the Rfam family "Bacterial small subunit ribosomal RNA", at positions 335 to 796 of the family's 1533-position model. The record is from RNAcentral.